CUGGCUAUGUCCCCAAGUUUUGUGCACCCCCAGCCUGCUCACUGGUGGAGUGGGGUGAGGAGCAGAAAAGGCCUUGACACUGCAUAAGCACUGAGCAUAAGUACUGCAUAAGCUGAGCAAUAACUAAAACAUCUCCAUAUUACCAAGACUAUUUUCAGCACAAAUCCAAAAUACAGCCCCAUACCAACCUAAAGAAAAUUAAAUUUAUCCCAGCCAAAACUGCUGCACCCCUGUGUACAAAGAGUUAACAACUCGGUGUAUUCACAGGAUAGGAAAUAAGAACAGACUUAAUACUGAAGUGCAGCGCAUCCUCAGGAAACACGCACACUUCCUCGGGUGACCAGAACAAAGGGGUCCACCCAGCACCACGACACAGCAGCCCACAAGACAGCUGGAUUGACAGAGGCACAAAGAAGUCAAGUGACCUGCCCGGGUCAGACAGCGCCGGUGGCUUGGAACAGAUUGGAGCCCUCCUGUCUCCAUACCCUGCACUGGACCGUGCUCCCUUUUGCAAGUUCUUCUACACUAGAGAUAAAUUGUGUCCACUUUUCCCUCUUGUCUUCUUGUCUCACAGUAAGCCCCCCUCAUUUUGUUUAUAUGGUUGUUUCACUUCUGAAUAUAGGUUUAAGCUACU
Molecule: long non-coding RNA, 634 nt
Organism: Chiroxiphia lanceolata (lance-tailed manakin)
Lineage: Eukaryota; Metazoa; Chordata; Aves; Passeriformes; Pipridae
Exons: 3
Source: RefSeq, a predicted model, not a curated record